AGCAGUCGCCACGGUAAUACAGAGGCCUCAAGCGUUGUUCGGAUUCAUUGGGCGUAAAGGGAGCGUAGGCGGUCGGGUAAGUUGGAUGUGAAAUCCUGGGGCUCAACCUCAGAACUGCAUUCAACACUGCUUGGCUAGAGUAUUGGAGAGGUGAGUGGAAUUCACGGUGUAGCAGUGAAAUGCGUAGAUAUCGUGAGGAAGACCAGCGGCGAAGGCGGCUCACUGGACAAUUACUGACGCUGAUGCUCGAAGGCCAGGGGAGCAAACGGGAUUAGAUACCCCCGUAGUCCCUGUCUCUUAUAC
Molecule: ribosomal RNA, 303 nt
Filed under: uncultured bacterium
Lineage: Bacteria
Description: partial 16S ribosomal RNA
Rfam family: Bacterial small subunit ribosomal RNA
Source: RNAcentral